Molecule: non-coding RNA, 78 nt
Organism: Schistosoma haematobium
Lineage: Eukaryota; Metazoa; Platyhelminthes; Trematoda; Strigeidida; Schistosomatidae
Source: Rfam
GGCUUUCUGAAUCCGUGCUGAGGUUUCGUCAGAUACCAACCCUCUUGGGCUGAUGAGACUCCCAAGGUAAGUGAAGUG